This 358-nucleotide transfer RNA is filed under the name uncultured Microcystis sp. Its description in RNAcentral is "partial 16S-23S ribosomal RNA intergenic spacer". The stretch from base 133 to 206 matches the Rfam family "tRNA". The record is from RNAcentral. Lineage: Bacteria; Bacillati; Cyanobacteriota; Cyanophyceae; Chroococcales; Microcystaceae.
AAGGGAGACCUAAUUCCGGUAGGAGACGAAAAAAAAGUAGUCCCAACCAAGAAUCAAUCCCAAAAGGUCGGAACGAAGUAUGAGGCUUUCAAACUAGGUUCUGGGUUCAUAAAAGACCUGAAUCAGGAACAAGGGCUAUUAGCUCAGGUGGUUAGAGCGCACCCCUGAUAAGGGUGAGGUCCCUGGUUCGAGUCCAGGAUGGCCCACCUGCACAGGUGGCAAAAACAAGAGAAGCUCCGAAUCAGCACCUUAUCUUAUAUACAUAUAUAAGAGAGAAUGCUGGCUCUGAGUAAAGAGUCCAGAGGAGCCUUGAAAACUGCAUAGAGCUAGGUGAAAAAGCCAAAAAAGAAGACCGCAA